Molecule: ribosomal RNA, 1005 nt
Filed under: Acinetobacter sp.
Lineage: Bacteria; Pseudomonadati; Pseudomonadota; Gammaproteobacteria; Moraxellales; Moraxellaceae
Description: bacterial SSU rRNA
Rfam family: Bacterial small subunit ribosomal RNA
Source: RNAcentral
UAGGAAUCUGCCUAUUAGUGGGGGACAACAUUCCGAAAGGAAUGCUAAUACCGCAUACGUCCUACGGGAGAAAGCAGGGGACCUUCGGGCCUUGCGCUGAUAAAUGAGCCUAAGUCGGAUUAGGUAGUUGGUGGGGUAAAGGCCUACCAAGGCGACGAUCUGUAGCGGGUCUGAGAGGAUGAUCCGCCACACUGGGACUGAGACGCGGCCCAGACUCCUACGGGAGGCAGCAGUGGGGAAUAUUGGACAAUGGGGGGAACCCUGAUCCAGCCAUGCCGCGUGUGUGAAAAAGGCCUUUUGGUUGUAAAGCACUUUAGCCGAGGAGGAGGCUACUACUAUUAAUACGACUGGAUAGUGGACGUUACUCGCAGAAUAAGCACCGGCUAACUCUGUGCCAGCACCCGCGGUAAUACAGAGGGUGCGAGCGUUAAUCGGAUUUACUGGGCGUAAAGCGUGCGUAUGCGGCUGAUUAAGUCGGAUGUGAAAUCCCUGAGCUUAACUUAUGAAUUGCAUUCGAUACUGGUCAGCUAGAGUAUGGGAGAUGAUGGUAGAAUUCCUGUGUAGCGGUGAAAUGCUUAGAGAUCUGGAGGAAUACCGAUGGCGAAGGGAGCCAUCUGGCCUGAUACUGACGCUGAUGUACGAAAGCAUGGGGAGCAAACAGGAUUAGAUACCCUGGUAGUCCAUGCCGUAUACGAUGUCUACUACCCUUGGGGCCCUUUGAUGCUUUAGUGGCGCAGCUAACGCGAUAACUAGACCGCCUGGGAGUACAGUCGCUACACUAAGACUCAAUGAUUGACGGUGACCCGCACAGCGUGAGCAUGUGGUUAAUUCAUGCACACGAGAUCAUACUGUCUCGACGUAAUACGACUUCGACAUGGAUGUGCGUCCGUACUACGAGACAUGUCUCAUGGCUGUCUCAGCUCGUGUCUGACAUGUCGGUGAUUCAGUACAGCCCAGCGUGUCCUACUCACGGGUAGGCGUAGCUGACCGCUAGUCUAUAGACAC